CUGUUUUUGGAGAUGACUGAACAGAUGAAGGCAUCAGAUGCCUUCAUCAGCUGGUAUUUUGCCUAAGAUCUAUUUAAGAUAACCUUUUCUUAUAUUUUUUACUUAAUAUUGGGCAUAAUCGUAUCAUUCAAGAUUAAGUCUGGGUUAUUUCUUUGAUAAGAACUGAAUGUGGCCGGGCGCAGUGGCUCACGCCUGUAAUCCCAGCACUUUGGGAGGCUGAGGCAGGAGAAUGGCGUGAACCCGGGAGGUGGAGGUUGCAGUGAGCCGAGAUUGCGCCACUGCACUCCAGCCUGGGCGACAGAGCGAGACUGUCUCAAAAAAAAAAAGAACG
Molecule: long non-coding RNA, 331 nt
Filed under: Homo sapiens (human)
Lineage: Eukaryota; Metazoa; Chordata; Mammalia; Primates; Hominidae
Description: HSALNT0369030
Source: RNAcentral